Molecule: small nucleolar RNA, 76 nt
Organism: Cyprinus carpio carpio
Lineage: Eukaryota; Metazoa; Chordata; Actinopteri; Cypriniformes; Cyprinidae
Source: Ensembl
CUCCAGUGAUGACCUCCAUUUUGUGCCACGUGUCUGGGCCACUGAUGUACUCUGAUGGGAUUGAGGAACUGAGGAG